Molecule: ribosomal RNA, 460 nt
Filed under: uncultured bacterium
Lineage: Bacteria
Description: partial 16S ribosomal RNA
Rfam family: Bacterial small subunit ribosomal RNA
Source: RNAcentral
CCUACGGGUGGCAGCAGUGAGGAAUAUUGGUCAAUGGGCGUAAGCCUGAACCAGCCAAGUCGCGUGAGGGAUGAAGGUUCUAUGGAUCGUAAACCUCUUUUAUAAGGGAAUAAAGUGUGGGACGUGUCCUGUUUUGUAUGUACCUUAUGAAUAAGGAUAGGCUAACUCCGUGCCAGCAGCCGCGGUAAUACGGAGGAUCCGAGCGUUAUCCGGAUUUAUUGGGUUGAAAGGGUGCGUAGGCGGCGUUUUAAGUCAGCGGUGAAAGUCUGUGGCGCAACCAUAGAAGUGCCGUUGAAACUGGAAGGCUUGAGUAUGUUUGAGGAAGGCAGAAUGCGUGGUGUAGCGGUGAAAUGCUUAGAUAUCACGCAGAACCCCGAUUGCGAAGGCAGCCAGCCAAGCCAUGACUGACGCUGAUGCACGAAAGCGUGGGGAUCAAACAGGAUUAGAUACCCGGGUAGUC